CGGGGAAUAUUGGGCAAUGGGGGAAACCCUGACCCAGCAACGCCGCGUGAAGGACGAAGGCCUUCGGGUUGUAAACUUCUUUGAUCAGGGACGAAACAAAUGACGGUACCUGAGGAACAAGCCACGACUAACUACGUGCCAGCAGCCGCGGUAAUACGUAGGUGGCAAGCGUUAUCCGGAUUUACUGGGUGUAAAGGGCGUGUAGGCGGUCUUGCAAGUCGGAAGUGAAAUUCCCGGGCUUAACCCGGGCGCUGCUCCCGAAACUGCGAGACUUGAGUACUGGAGAGGAUAGUGGAAUUCCUAGUGUAGCGGUAAAAUGUGUAGAUAUUAGGAGGAACACCAGUGGCGAAGGCGGCUAUCUGGACAGUAACUGACGCUGAGGCGCGAAAGCGUGGGGAGCAAACAG
RNAcentral lists this ribosomal RNA (406 nucleotides) under uncultured bacterium. Its description in RNAcentral is "bacterial SSU rRNA". It matches the Rfam family "Bacterial small subunit ribosomal RNA", at positions 355 to 775 of the family's 1533-position model. The record is from RNAcentral.